Long non-coding RNA from Rosa rugosa (rugosa rose), 276 nucleotides. RefSeq lists it as uncharacterized. The record is from RefSeq and is a predicted model, not a curated record. The transcript has 3 exons. Lineage: Eukaryota; Viridiplantae; Streptophyta; Magnoliopsida; Rosales; Rosaceae.
UGCCUUUUUAUCAAAAAAUCAGUUGCCUGUGGCUGUUUUUGUUUCGUAGUCUGAGGUUUCACAGGUUGACAUCCAAAAAAUGCAGCCCUUGCAAGGUCGAGUGCUUGAAGCUAGAUUUUGAACUCGGAGGAGAGAGUGCGACUAAGAUAAAGGGGAAGACAAAUGGGAUAAUAAACAGCCCCGGCAAGGUUGACUCAAACUCACGGUUAGUUGUUCUCUAUAGUUUCAAUUUCUACAUGUUGGGAUUUUCUGUGUUCUGUAGGCUGGUUUAAGUGA